AACGAACGCUGGCGGCAUGCCUAACACAUGCAAGUCGAACGAGACCUUCGGGUCUAGUGGCGCACGGGUGCGUAACGCGUGGGAAUCUGCCCUUGGGUUCGGAAUAACAGCGAGAAAUUGCUGCUAAUACCGGAUGAUGACGUAAGUCCAAAGAUUUAUCGCCCAAGGAUGAGCCCGCGUAGGAUUAGCUUGUUGGUGAGGUAAAAGCUCACCAAGGCGACGAUCCUUAGCUGGUCUGAGAGGAUGAUCAGCCACACUGGGACUGAGACACGGCCCAGACUCCUACGGGAGGCAUCAGUGGGGAAUAUUGGACAAUGGGCGAAAGCCUGAUCCAGCAAUGCCGCGUGAGUGAUGAAGCCUUAGGGUUGUAAAGCUCUUUUACCCGGGAUGAUAAUGACAGUACCGGGAGAAUAAGCCCGGCUAACUCCGUGCCAGCAGCCGCGGUAAU
RNAcentral lists this ribosomal RNA (448 nucleotides) under uncultured bacterium. RNAcentral describes it as "bacterial SSU rRNA". It matches the Rfam family "Bacterial small subunit ribosomal RNA", at positions 29 to 524 of the family's 1533-position model. The record is from RNAcentral.